GUCAUAUUUAAGGUCAUUUUCGUACAAGUUUCCUUUUACAGAACAACAAAGUAUCAAUAUGACUACCCAAUUUCUCUUUCUUUACAUUCCUUCCAUCUUGUAUCAUACCAUUGUCAGUCUAUAUUAAUUUUUCCUGUCAUAUUUAAGUUCAUUUUCAUACAAGUUUCCUUUUACAGAACAACAAAGUAUCAUUAGCACUACUUAAUUUCUUUCUUUUUAUUCCCUUAUCCUCUUGUAUCAUUCCAUUUUUAAGCUGCAUAUACUUAAGAUUAACUAGCACUUCAUAUCUUUCUUCCAUACCAUUGCCAGUCUAUAUUAAUUUUUCCUCUCAUACUUAAGUUCAUUUUCAUACAAGUUUCCUCUCACAGAACAACAAAGUAUCAUUAGCACUACCCAAUUUCUCUUUCUUUUCAUUCCUUUCAUCUUGUGUCAUUCCAUUUUUAAGCUGCAUAUUCUUAAGAGCGUCCUACUUAACCUUAGUUUUAUACAAGUUUUGUCUAACAGAACAAUUAGUAUCAAUAUUUUUACUUGUAUAUCCUUCUAAUCCUUUUUUUGUAUGUUUAUAUUUUCAUUUUGCAGAGGGUUGAACUUUCUGUCAACUCAUCUUCACCACAGACUCUCAUGUUAUUAAGAAUUCAAGACAUAUAUGAAAACCAACACUAAACAAGUACAGCACUCCAUAACACAUAAGCCAGCAUCAUUAUCACUCUUCUUAUCUUCAUUAUACUCAUCAUUACCAAACACCAUCGUAAGCGUUACAGUGUGGAGGGCUUUGUCGAGGCUCAUCUGCCUGGGGAAAGGAUGGAUGGAAGGCCUGACCUUUAUUACCCUGGUGGUGGUGGUGGAAUAUUACUUAUCUGUCUGUGUUCAUGUGUAUUUGUUGAACUAGAUUUGUGUCAAGCUUGUAAUAUCUCAUUCUCUUAUCUUCUCUUACCUCUGUUUAUUUAUUUUAUUUUUUUACAUCAAAGGACACGGCUCAAGGGCAACAAAAAGAGUGCAAAAAAAUAAAAGCCCGCUUCUCGCCGCUCCCAUAAAAGAUAAAAGUAGCCAAAAGAGAGGUCAAAUUCGGGUGGGUAUUUUUAUCAGAUUCAGUCAGGCUUGUAUAGUCACAUAUUUCUUUGUUUUCACUUCUGCAUAUUAAGUCGAGCUUGUAAUCUCAUAUUUUUAAUCUGUUGUCAUUAGUAUUUACUUAUUCCAGAUUGAGUCCAGAUUGUAAUGUAUGUUUUAUUUUUUUAACUUUCUCGCUAGUUUUUAUUUUUUACCAGGUUCAGUCAAGCUUGUAAUGUCUCCUAUCUCUCCCCUCUGACUUGUGCAGGUUCAGUCAAGCUUGUAAUGUCUCCUGUUUUUUUCUACUCUUACUUGUGCAGGUUCAGUCAAGCUUGUAAUGUCUCCUAUUUGUUUGUUUUUACUUGUGCAGGUCGAGUCAAGCUUGUCAUCUCUCAUAAUCUCAUAUUUUUAGCCUGUUUCCAGUAUUUACUUGUGCAGAUUGGAUCUCAUAUUUUCACUCUUCUUAUCAGGAUUUACUUAUUCCAGAUUUUAUUCCAGAUAUAGUCAAGCUUAGAACCUCUCAUAAUUUUAGUCUAUUACCAGUAUUCACAUAUUCCAGAUGAGUUAAGCUUCUAAAGUCUCAUAUUUUUUAGUUUGUUACCAGUAUUUACUUUUUCCAGAUUGAGUCAGGCUUGUAAUGUCCCAUAUCUUCACUCAAUAGCACCUUUUCUCUCAUAAUGACCUCUUUACCAUCACCACCACCACCGUCACUAUUACAGAACCUCUAAUUAUCACUCACAUAUUUUCCCUAAUGACCCAUAAUGACCUCUCUCACUACCACCAUUACUGUUACAAAACCUCUAAUUAUCACUCGCAUAUUUUCCCUAAUGACCCAUAAUGACCUGUCUCACUACCACCAUUAUUAAACAUGACCUUAUUAUCACCUACAAUUUUUUCCACUAAUGACCUCACCUUCCUAAUCUCUCACCAUACCACCCUUACUAAACAUGACCUCAUAUCACCUACAAUUUUCCACUAAUGACCCCACUUCCGUAAUCCCUCACCAUUACUAUAUACGACCUCAUUACGUACCAACCCACCACCACUACAGUUCAUGACCUCAAUAUCCCCCUUACUAAACCCCCUUUCCACCCUCCCCACCACCCCGAACCACCCCCGUUGACCCCCCUCUGCCGGGAUUGUCGCUCCCCGCCAGGCGAUCUCUGUUCUGAACCGUCUCGAAUUCAAUCAAACACUAUAGCAUGUUGUCUGUGUAUACCUGCAUCUCUCCGGCGUAUGUCGAUCCUUUUUGUAUGAUACGUCUCGUGGGUCGUGUGCCAAUAAUGGUUAAUGCGGCGUCAUCCUGGUUACUAUACUUGACCAUAGAAGUGGAUUUUUUUUUUUCUCGGGUUUUUUUUUUUUCUGUCUCGGUUCUUUCAAGUGACGAAAUACAGCAGUCAUACUAAAGA
Long non-coding RNA from Eriocheir sinensis (Chinese mitten crab), 2456 nucleotides. RefSeq lists it as uncharacterized. The record is from RefSeq and is a predicted model, not a curated record. NCBI's taxonomy places the organism in Eukaryota, Metazoa, Arthropoda, Malacostraca, Decapoda, Varunidae. The transcript has 2 exons.